AUUGAACGCUGGCGGCAGGCCUAACACAUGCAAGUCGAACGAGUGGCGGACGGGUGAGUAAUGUCUGGGAAACUGCCCGAUGGAGGGGGAUAACUACUGGAAACGGUAGCUAAUACCGCAUACCAUCGGAUGUGCCCAGAUGGGAUUAGCUAGUAGGUGGGGUAAUGGCUCACCUAGGCGACGAUCCCUAGCUGGUCUGAGAGGAUGACCAGCCAAACUGGAACUGAGAAACGGUCCAGACUCCUACGGGAGGCAGAAGUGGGGAAUAGUGAACAAUGGGCGCAAGCCUGAUGCAGCCAGGCCGCGUGUAUGAAGAAGGCCUUCGGGUUGUAAAGUACUUGCAGCGGGGAGGCGUUACACGCAGAAGAAGCACCGGCUAACGCCGUGCCAGCCGCCGCGGUAAUGC
Molecule: ribosomal RNA, 406 nt
Filed under: uncultured bacterium
Lineage: Bacteria
Description: partial 16S ribosomal RNA
Rfam family: Bacterial small subunit ribosomal RNA
Source: RNAcentral